CCCGGGCCCAGUGUACCCCCAAUACCCGGGCCCAGUGUACCCCCAAUACCCGGGCCCAGCGUACCCCAAUACCAAGGCCUAGAACCCCCAAUACCCGGGCCCAGCGUACCCCAAUACCCGGGCCCAGCGGUACUACUAAUACCCGGGCCCAGCGUACCCCCAAUACCCGGGCCCAGCGUACUAAUACCAGGCCCAGCGUACCCCAGUACCCGGGCCCAGUGUAUAAUACAAAGACCUAGAACCCCCAAUACCCGGGCCUUGUACCCAAUACCCGGGCCUUGUACCUAAUACCCAGCGGGCCCAGCGUACCCCCAAUACCCGGGCCCAGCGUACCCCCAAUACCCGGGCCCAGCGUACCCCCAAUACCCGGGCCCAGCGUACCCCCCAGUACCCGGGCCCAGUGUACCCCCAAUACCAAGGCCUAGAACCCCCCAAUACCCGGGCCCAGCGUACCCCAAUACCCGGGCCCAGCGUACCCCCCAAUACCCGGGCCCAGUGUACCCCCAAUACCCGGGCCCAGUGUACCCCCAAUACCAAGGCCUAGAACCCCCCAAUACCCGGGCCCAGUGUACCCCCCAGUACCCGGGCCCAGUGUACCCCCAAUACCAAGGCCUAGAACCCCCCAAUACCCGGGCCCAGUGUACCCCCAAUACCCGGGCCCAGCGUACCCCAAUACCG
Non-coding RNA from Pelobates cultripes (western spadefoot toad), 678 nucleotides. The record is from the annotation of a GenBank genome assembly. NCBI's taxonomy places the organism in Eukaryota, Metazoa, Chordata, Amphibia, Anura, Pelobatidae.